AUUGAACGCUGGCGGCAGGCCUAACACAUGCAAGUCGAACGGUAACAGGAAGAAGCUUGCUUCUUUGCUGACGAGUGGCGGACGGGUGAGUAAUGUCUGGGAAACUGCCUGAUGGAGGGGGAUAACUACUGGAAACGGUAGCUAAUACCGCAUAACGUCGCAAGACCAAAGAGGGGGACCUUCGGGCCUCUUGCCAUCGGAUGUGCCCAGAUGGGAUUAGCUAGUAGGUGGGGUAACGGCUCACCUAGGCGACGAUCCCUAGCUGGUCUGAGAGGAUGACCAGCCACACUGGAACUGAGACACGGUCCAGACUCCUACGGGAGGCAGCAGUGGGGAAUAUUGCACAAAGGGCGCAAGCCUGAUGCAGCCAUGCCGCGUGUAUGAAGAAGGCCUUCGGGUUGUAAAGUACUUUCAGCAGGGAGGAAGGGAGUAAAGUUAAUACCUUUGCUCAUUGACGUUACCCGCAGAAGAAGCACCGGCUAACUCCGUG
RNAcentral lists this ribosomal RNA (490 nucleotides) under uncultured bacterium. RNAcentral describes it as "partial 16S ribosomal RNA". It matches the Rfam family "Bacterial small subunit ribosomal RNA", at positions 30 to 507 of the family's 1533-position model. The record is from RNAcentral.